CCAAGUCUUUAAGCCUCUUCUUUCUCUCAAAGCAUCAUUCGCGAGCCACUCUUUAGUCACAUUUGCUUCUCGAGGAUUCUCGCUCUCGAGACUACAUCUUCACUACCUCUCAUCCAUCGAGCCACAUAUAUUUUCUCGCGCUCAUCAUUCUCGAACCUCGUCUCCUUCUCAAAGGAGAUCGCUUUUCCUCACAUCAUCACCA
Molecule: long non-coding RNA, 202 nt
Filed under: Vigna radiata
Lineage: Eukaryota; Viridiplantae; Streptophyta; Magnoliopsida; Fabales; Fabaceae
Description: long non-coding RNA (VRAD_LNC012704)
Source: RNAcentral